This is a non-coding RNA of Mycena rosella, 87 nucleotides long. Lineage: Eukaryota; Fungi; Basidiomycota; Agaricomycetes; Agaricales; Mycenaceae. The record is from the annotation of a GenBank genome assembly.
GACCUGGUGGUGAAAUGAAUCAUGCCUGCAACCUAUAAUGUGAGCUAGUAGGUGCGGGAGUCCCUGGUUCAAAUCUGGGCUGGGUCA